Molecule: ribosomal RNA, 253 nt
Filed under: uncultured bacterium
Lineage: Bacteria
Description: partial 16S ribosomal RNA
Rfam family: Bacterial small subunit ribosomal RNA
Source: RNAcentral
UACGGAGGGUGCGAGCGUUAAUCGGAAUUAUUGGGCGUAAAGCGUGCGUAGGCGGUUUCGUAAGUCGGGUGUGAAAUCCCCGGGCUCAACCUGGGAAUUGCAUUCGAAACUGCGAGGCUAGGGUACGGAAGAGGGAAGCGGAAUUUCUGGUGUAGCGGUGAAAUGCGUAGAUAUCAGAAGGAACAUCAGUGGCGAAAGCGGCUUCCUGGUCCAGUACCGACGUUCAGGCACGAAAGCGUGGGGAGCAAACAGG